AGUUUAGUCCUGGCCAUUUCUACAUAACCCCCCAGCAAGCUGAAUUUCCAUUUCUAUAGGAAAAAAAAAGGUAAGUAGUGAGGAAGAAGUCUUCUUGUCAGCUUGAGCUUUAAAAAGAAGGAGGAAGUGUGGGGUGGAUGGAUGGUUUGCAGCCAGGCGUAUGUGGAGGGGAGGAAACGAGACUGAGUAAGAAAUGAAGUGCUGACACAGAGAGCCCUCCGUGGCCUCCGGAUGACCUGUGAAGCGCACCAGUUCCUGUAACAAACACCGCGGAAUGUGCUCACACGAGGAGCGAGUUGUGGAGAGGAGCAUGGGGUUGAGUGAAGUCAGCAGAAUUAAGAGUGGUGCCAACCGUCCGUCCAUGCCACUGUCCAUCCCGGAAACCCUGGGGAGAUCAGGCAGAGAGGAUAGAAGGAAGCGGCGACUGAAUUCCCUUGAUUGCUUGCUAUGCCCACAGUAACAAAUGGACUUUGUCUCAAGAAUGAAGAAUGGACUCCAUCAGGGAAAUCAGCUCUGGGCAGGACUAGAGAAUGGCAGCGGAAAUAUCCCCAGAAGCAUGCCAUAUCCCCAGCUCAGAGAUGGACAAAUGGAGGCAUGGCCAAGGUGGGCAGGAAUGAGAAGGAGAAAGGCAUAGGCAGGAGGAAAUGGUAGGAUUUUAGGAAUGCAGGCUUGGCUUGGGCGGUACUUGGGGCUCUAUCAGGAAUCGCACGCACAACUCUAACCUGUUUGUGAAACUCUGCCUGCCCUGGCUGUGGCCGUGUUUUACAGUGCCCUUGUUGCUGUGCUCAGGAAGUGAAAGCCUCCCUAGGUUAUUUAUUGAAAGACUGGGAAUUCCCAAGUGAUGGAGAGCACAGCUUCAUGGCCUCAUGAGUCAGACCAUCCUGGAAUUCCCAACCCACCAGUGAGCAGCUAUUUGUGUUGCCAGAGGCUCCUGCCAGCCUCAGUUUCCUCGUUGGGAAGAGAAUAAAACUACUUGCCGAUGGACUCUGGUGAGGAUUAAAUGUAAAACAAAAGGCUUGGUUCACAGUAACACUUUGUCCUUGGGGUAUAUUUUUAUAAAUGUGCGUUUGGCUUUAAUUUGGCUUUAGACUUUCUAGGCUAUCAUCAACCGAUCAAUAUUUAUUACACACUCACUGGGUUUUAAAGGGGACCAGAAAGAGCUCUAAGAUCUGGAGUCACAGAUACAACAUACACAGGACAGAAAACCCCAUGAUCGGGGGCACACAACUCAUUCCUAGCACACAUCUGGAAAGGGUGUAGAAUUUGAGCUGAGUGCACAUUUGGGAUGGAACAGUAAAGUGACUUCCCCUUUUCCUGCUCUAAAUUUGGGAUAUUCCUUUCUUUAAUUUUAUGGACUUUUGUGUUUUUCAGCAGAGAGACCUAUAAUCCUACAGCAUGCACAAGAGAAGAUCAAGUCACUGCUCACAAAAUCAUAAAUCAAAGCCCUGAGGCCUGUCAGGACCUACCCACCUGUAUACCAGACCCCGGGGAUACCAGAGCUUCAGAUCCUUAUAUGAAAUGCUAUAGUAGCUGAUGUGGAGACUCCCAAAAGUAGUCCUAGUAUUUGGAAUCGGUGGCUACCCUGGGCAUCAAAGUGAAAUCUAGUUAUUUUCAAAAAACGUUAUAGUGGGUUUUUUUUAUAACUUAGCAAUGCUCUUAUGUACUUUAAAUCAUUUCUAACAUCAACUACAGUGCUUUAGAUCGUAUUGUAAUAUAAUAUAAUAUAAUAUAAUAUAAUAUAAUAUAAUAUAAUAUAAAUAUACAGUGUGAAUCCUAUGUAAGUCUCUGUCCCACUACAUCCCUUAGGGAUAUGACAAGGAAAAAUCUGGACGUAUUCAGGAUGGAUGCAGCCCUGGCAGGCCUGACCAUGUUUUCUGCCCACAGUUAGUUGAGUCUGAGUCCCACGUGCAGGAGGCUGGCUGUAUUUUUAAAACUGCCUUUGCCCUGAUGAGGAGUGUCCAGGGGAAGCGGUGACAGAGGCUGCAGGUGGCUCUGUGGCUUCUGGACAGGAGCAGCUGAGAGUUAGGAGUCUCUCCAGGCCAGGCCAAGCCACUAGGAGGAACCAAACCCGAGGGAGAAACCGCACCCAGGAGUUCAGAGACCUACGUCCUCUUCAGUGUGUAAAAUUUCAUCUUGUUCAAGACCAGCCUGACAACUUGGUAAUGACUAUAGCUGUGUUGGCACCUAGGGUUUCCUCAGGAGGUUUGUCCUCAAAGCGGACAUAAACCAGCCACGAGGCCUCCACCUCCAGCUCACUUUCCGGUUCCUGGAAUGAGUUUGGGACAAGCACAGCUUGGAGCGGCUGCCCUGAGAUUUUAUCAGACUUCUCAUGAAUUCCAUUCAGGCGGAAAGACACAGAGGAACACUCACUGUUGGGGUUCAUGGCCAAUGCAUUUCUGGGCCUGACAUCUUGUUGUCUUUACCCUGAGUUGGAAGCAAGUUGAGUCAACUAGUUUUCUGUUUGGUUCUUUACUAUGGUGAGUGACAAAGCAUCAGGAGGGAGCUCAAGGUUUCCCAGGCCCUGCUGGAGCUGGGGUGAGCAUUUACUGUCCGGCUCUCCUCUGAACCCCCUUGGCUAAAUGUCUCUCUACUGCAAGCCCAAAGUACAGGUGGAGGCGAUGGUGACCAGUGAGCUACAAGAAGCAGCAGCAGCCUGGCCCACUGUGCGCCCGCGGCAGUGACUCAGUGGUGAGGCACUGCAGCUGGCCUGCCGUGGCCUUGGGGGACCAGGGGUCUGCAUCUCACUCAGGUCCUGUCUGUUGGACUCUCACUCUCCUCUUCUGGGACUUGCUUAAGGGUGGUGGUGGAAUCCGUCCUCCAGUCUUCAUCAGUGAGGCUCAUGCAUCAUUGAAAAAAGCCAAGGAGAAUGUUAGGAAAACAAGUAUUGUAGGUACUUGUUCCUCCAUUCAUGGAUUUAUUCAUUCAUUACCACUCUUUUUUUUCCCCACACCAACUCUGUGUUAGAUGUUGAGGAUUAAAAGAUGAAUGAGAUUUGGUUUCCUGCCUUCUUAGGCUCCCCAUCUGAAUGGGAAGAUAGAUGCUUAUGCAAACAAUUGCAGAAACCUCGAUGCGUGAUAACAAGAGUGUGUGUUCCAGUGCCUGGAAAUGUCAUUCAGACGGCUGAUAUGGGAGCCAGGUCUUCCCACAGGAGUCAGGGCACCCGUGGGGUGGCGAGUUAUUUAGGAGAAAUUCGCCACUUGCCAAAAAGAACUUUGCCUGAGAGCCACAGUGAGGCUUGAAAGAUUUUAAGCAGUGAGUGAAAGGCAAAGAAUGAAACAUGGACAUUCAUUUGAAAUUCUAGUUUAUCAAGAGUGAAACUUUUCCCUGCUCUGCAUGCUGGGAGAUGCAUGCUUGUGCCAGGACACCCCCGUACUGUUUACAGAGCCUGCUCAGGCCACAGUGCUGGCUUUUACCAGGCCAUGCCAGGAAGGCAUUUGCUGUGGCUGAUUCACAAAGAGACUCUGGAAGUCUGCAUAUUUUCCAAAGUCUGCGCUGAUUCUUGCCCUUUGUACAGUCAAAUGUCCCUUGGAAAAUGAGAGGAAAGCGACAAACCAUCUUCCAAAAAUACAUUUACUUUUGCAUUAAAUUUCAGGAUUUCCAGAGGAACCCCCCUCAUCCGCUCAUCACUGUGAUGCGCUGGGCCAUUGAUGAGUUCCAGGUAAAGAUCUUCCCACCUUGCCUUAGGCUGUGAGUCAGGGAGUUGGUGAGACCCAGAUUAGGCAUAGAGCUGUUGGUCACCUGGCCUCAUGUGGACCCAAAGACUCCUGGGGAGAAAAUGUCCCAAGGUGGAACUGCGUUUUGCCAUGAUCCAGAUUCAGCCAUGCGCCAUGCUGACAGGUGCCUCUACCCUGGCUUACUGUGGCCCUGGUCCUGUCAAACGUAAAAGCAGCUUUUAAACUUGGUAGUUUUGCUGGCUAUCAAAGAAGCAGGGAGCUGCCAUGAAAUCAGUGAGUGGCAAACAUUUCUCGCCAGAUUAUUCUGAUUACAGUCAAGCACGAGGGCUGGUUUGUGUCCUCUCUUCUGAUUGAAUUGAUGCAUCAAGAGGGUUAGCAGGACUGAUCGUGACUGAGGCAACCCAAGGCCAGUCUCAGGUGGGAAGAGUGAGGACGACACGGUGUGUGGGGAGCAGCAGGCACUGAGUGUCCUGUACUUGGAGCCAGAGCUUUGAGAGGAAAUGGAGUCUGCAGUCAGAGAGCUUGGGCAGGGCCAGUGCUGGGGAGAAGCCAGUAAGGACCCUGCUGAGUACAUAAUGUAAGAAAGUGCCCCCAACUCACUAAUUGAAAUAAAUAACAUUUUUAGUACAAUUUUAAAAAAUUGAAUGCAAUGGAAAAAAUUUAUAAUGAAUACAGUUUCAGGAUUUGACACAACGGGAAUGCAACUCUGUCCUGGCAUAUUAUGCCUGCAGUGCUUCCUGGUCCCAGCCCUGAGUUUUGAAGCUGAGAAAUUCAUAUCCACAAAGUCUGCAGCUUGUGUUGGAGUAACACCUGUGAGUUUCAAUAAAAUCAGGACCUGGACAUUGGUGAUUAGCUUCUGCAGCUGUCAGGGCUGUUUCCCAGCAGUGUGAACACUACUCAGUUUCCCUGGAACUCCAGCCUGCCAGCCUUCCCAUCCGGUCCGAGAAAUGUAUGCUGUCAGUGUCCCAAAAAUUCCACAAGGUGGCACUCUUGCUCUAACCAGGUGCUGCUUUGAAGGAGCUUCUUAGCCAAACUAGUUAAAUUUAUGCUACAGUACUUGCUUAGUUGUUUGAGAGGCCACAAGGAAUCAGGAGCCGAUAUUGGGGUAAACAGUGCUGUGAUGUGGGGGAGGGCUGAAGAAACAUUCUGGAGCUCUUGGAGCAAGGUAGGACCUGAUUUGGGACCACAGCCCGUGCUGUUUUUCAGCAGGUGAUAACAAUGAAAAUCUUAAGCUUCUUUUCGUUCUUGAAUGCAAUUGAAGCACACGUGACAUGGGACAUAAAUAUGAGAUUAAUGGUUUUCUGCAAAGUAUAGCCUGGUGGUAACAGCUCAGGUACUUGAGUCAGAAAGACCUGGAACGUUGGCUCCUCUGCUGGGUAGUUGUGAUCUUGGAUGAAUGACUGUGCUUUGCUAAGUCUAAGAUUCUUUGUCUUUAACUGUGGAUUGCUGUAGCUACUUCCCUGGAGGGCUGCUGGUGGAUUAAAUAAACAGAUGCACAUAAA
Long non-coding RNA from Cavia porcellus (domestic guinea pig), 5176 nucleotides. RefSeq lists it as uncharacterized. The record is from RefSeq and is a predicted model, not a curated record. The transcript has 2 exons. Lineage: Eukaryota; Metazoa; Chordata; Mammalia; Rodentia; Caviidae.